Non-coding RNA from Parelaphostrongylus tenuis, 71 nucleotides. Lineage: Eukaryota; Metazoa; Nematoda; Chromadorea; Rhabditida; Metastrongylidae. The record is from the annotation of a GenBank genome assembly.
ACUCUAGUGGUGUAGUGGUAGCACACGCGCCUCUUAUGGGUAGCAUGCGGGUUCAACUUCCGCCUGGGGUC